RNAcentral lists this ribosomal RNA (253 nucleotides) under uncultured bacterium. RNAcentral's name for it is "partial 16S ribosomal RNA". It matches the Rfam family "Bacterial small subunit ribosomal RNA", at positions 524 to 776 of the family's 1533-position model. The record is from RNAcentral.
UACAGAGGUCUCAAGCGUUGUUCGGAUUCAUUGGGCGUAAAGGGUGCGUAGGCGGCGCGGUAAGUCGGGUGUGAAAUCUCGGGGCUUAACUCCGAAACUGCAUUCGAUACUGCCGUGCUUGAGGACUGGAGAGGAGACUGGAAUUUACGGUGUAGCGGUGAAAUGCGUAGAUAUCGUAAGGAAGACCAGUGGCGAAGGCGGGUCUCUGGACAGUUCUUGACGCUGAGGCACGAAGGUCAGGGGAGCAAACGGG